This 90-nucleotide transfer RNA is filed under the name Candidatus Latescibacterota bacterium. RNAcentral's name for it is "Latescibacterota bacterium tRNA". It matches the Rfam family "tRNA". From Rfam's summary of the family: Transfer RNA (tRNA) molecules are approximately 80 nucleotides in length. Lineage: Bacteria; Pseudomonadati; Candidatus Latescibacterota. The record is from Rfam by way of RNAcentral.
GGAGAGGUGUCCGAGCGGCCUAAGGAGCACGAUUGGAAAUCGUGUGUGCUGUUAAAAGCGGCACCGCGGGUUCAAAUCCCGCCCUCUCCG